CCGUGAUAACGUAGCAUAAUCAUUCGCCACCUAAUUAGUGGAUAGUAUGAAUGGUAAAACGAGUAUAACACUCUCUCAGAAGGAAGUUUUAUGAAAUUGGAAUGGUAGUCAAGAUACUACCUAAAACUGUAAGACGAAAAGACCCUAUAGAGCUUAACUACACCUUUCUCACAAAGUUAAGUUCACUUAAGUUCAAGAAAGAUUGGUAGUUUAGUUGGGGCGACUGCUUUCUAGUAAAAACGAAAGCAAGCAAUAUUAAUUAUCUAAUUUACUGUCUAAUCUAUGUGUUUAACAGUUAUAAAAAUAGGCAAUAGUGACCCGUUAGUAACAAAAAACACCACUAACGAACAAUAAAUAAAAGCUACCUUAGGGAUAACAGGAUAAUCUUGUUCCAGAGACCCUAUCGAAAACAAGGUUUGUCACCUCUAUGUUGAAUUAAGAUAUCCUAGAAGUGUAGAAGCUUCUGAGG
Molecule: ribosomal RNA, 469 nt
Filed under: Millepora alcicornis
Lineage: Eukaryota; Metazoa; Cnidaria; Hydrozoa; Anthoathecata; Milleporidae
Description: partial large subunit ribosomal RNA
Rfam family: Bacterial large subunit ribosomal RNA
Source: RNAcentral